RNAcentral lists this ribosomal RNA (315 nucleotides) under uncultured fungus. RNAcentral's name for it is "SSU rRNA". It matches the Rfam family "Eukaryotic small subunit ribosomal RNA", at positions 1344 to 1680 of the family's 1831-position model. Lineage: Eukaryota; Fungi. The record is from RNAcentral.
UAACCUGCUAAAUAGCCCGGCCGGCUUUGGCUGGCCGUUGGCUUCUUAGAGGGACUAUCAGCGUUUAGCUGAUGGAAGUUUGAGGCAAUAACAGGUCUGUGAUGCCCUUAGAUGUUCUGGGCCGCACGCGCGCUACACUGACUGAGCCAGCGAGUUUAUCACCUUAACCGAGAGGUUUGGGUAAUCUUGUGAAACUCAGUCGUGCUGGGGAUAGAUCAUUGCAAUUAUUGCUCUUCAACGAGGAAUACCUAGUAAGCGUGAGUCAUCAGCUCGCGUUGAUUACGUCCCUGCCCUUUGUACACACCGCCCGUCGCU